CCUACGGGGGGCAGCAGUGAGGAAUAUUGGUCAAUGGGCGCGAGCCUGAACCAGCCAAGUAGCGUGAAGGAUGACUGCCCUACGGGUUGUAAACUUCUUUUAUAAAGGAAUAAAGUGAGGCACGUGUGCCUUUUUGUAUGUACUUUAUGAAUAAGGAUAGCCUAACUCCGUGACAGCAGACGCGGUAAUACGGAAGAUCCGAGCGUUAUCCGGAUUUAUUGGGUUUAAAGGGCGCGUAGAUGGGGUGUUAAGGCAGUUGUGAAAGUUUGCGGCUCAACCGUAAAAUUGCAAUUGAUAAUGGCAGCCUUGAGUACAGUUGAGGAAGGCGGAAUGCGUGGUGUAGCGGUGAAAUGCUUAGAUAUCACGAAGAACUCCGAUUGCGAAGGCAGCCGACU
RNAcentral lists this ribosomal RNA (395 nucleotides) under uncultured bacterium. RNAcentral's name for it is "partial 16S ribosomal RNA". It matches the Rfam family "Bacterial small subunit ribosomal RNA", at positions 338 to 730 of the family's 1533-position model. The record is from RNAcentral.